This 465-nucleotide ribosomal RNA is filed under the name uncultured bacterium. Its description in RNAcentral is "partial 16S ribosomal RNA". It matches the Rfam family "Bacterial small subunit ribosomal RNA", at positions 28 to 507 of the family's 1533-position model. The record is from RNAcentral.
GAUGAACGCUGGCGGCGUGCUUAACACAUGCAAGUCGAACGGAAAGGCUCCUGCUUGCAUGGGUACUCGAGUGGCGAACGGGUGAGUAACACGUGGGUGAUCUGCCCUUCACUUCGGGAUAAGCCUUGGAAACUGGGUCUAAUACCGGAUAGGACCACAUUUUGGAUGUUGUGGUGGAAAGUUUUUCGGUGUGGGAUGAGCUCGCGGCCUAUCAGCUUGUUGGUGGGGUAAUGGCCUACCAAGGCGUCGACGGGUAGCCGGCCUGAGAGGGUGUACGGCCACAUUGGGACUGAGAGACGGCCCAGACUCCUACGGGAGGCAGCAGUGGGGAAUAUUGCACAAUGGGGGCAAGCCUGAUGCAGCGACGCCGCGUGGGGGAUGACGGCCUUCGGGUUGUAAACUCCUUUCGAUAGGGACGAAGAGCAAGUGACGGUACCUGGAGAAGAAGCACCGGCUAACUACGUG